Molecule: ribosomal RNA, 460 nt
Filed under: uncultured bacterium
Lineage: Bacteria
Description: partial 16S ribosomal RNA
Rfam family: Bacterial small subunit ribosomal RNA
Source: RNAcentral
CCUACGGGUGGCAGCAGUGAGGAAUAUUGGUCAAUGGACGAGAGUCUGAACCAGCCAAGUAGCGUGAAGGAUGACUGCCCUAUGGGUUGUAAACUUCUUUUAUAUGGGAAUAAAAUGUUCCACGUGUGGGAUUUUGUAUGUACCAUAUGAAUAAGGAUCGGCUAACUCCGUGCCAGCAGCCGCGGUAAUACGGAGGAUCCGAGCGUUAUCCGGAUUUAUUGGGUUUAAAGGGUGCGUAGGUGGAUUGUUAAGUCAGUUGUGAAAUUUUGCGGCUCAACCGUAAAAUUGCAGUUGAAACUGGCAGUCUUGAGAACAGUAGAGGUAGGCGGAAUGCGUGGUGUAGCGGUGAAAUGCUUAGAUAUCACGAAGAACUCCGAUUGCGAAGGCAGCUCACUGGACUGCAACUGACACUGAGGCUCGAAAGUGUGGGUAUCAAACAGGAUUAGAUACCCUAGUAGUC